Molecule: long non-coding RNA, 278 nt
Filed under: Elaeis guineensis (African oil palm)
Lineage: Eukaryota; Viridiplantae; Streptophyta; Magnoliopsida; Arecales; Arecaceae
Description: long non-coding RNA (EGUI_LNC006734)
Source: RNAcentral
CAGGAUAUCUCGUUGGAAUCUGAAUUUUUAUUUGAAAUCAUAUAUAAAAUCUUCAAAGUUGGCAUCGUGGUCUUAUUGAUUUCAAAAAAAUAUUAAAAAUAGUAUAAAUUAUGUGCAAAUGUUAUCUAAUUGCCAACAAUAUCAAUAUUUUUCAUGUCAACUACCGCAUCAUAUCUUACAGAGAUCUUAGGGGGCAUUUAGUGACUUAACUAGGAUCACUAUGGUGAUCUAAGAUCACCGAUGAUCCAAAUCUUGAGGUGAUCUAAUAUCUAGUGAUC